This 468-nucleotide ribosomal RNA is filed under the name uncultured bacterium. Its description in RNAcentral is "partial 16S ribosomal RNA". It matches the Rfam family "Bacterial small subunit ribosomal RNA", at positions 28 to 507 of the family's 1533-position model. The record is from RNAcentral.
GACGAACGCUGGCGGCGUGCUUAACACAUGCAAGUCGAACGGAAAGGCCCUGCUUUUGUGGGGUGCUCGAGUGGCGAAAGGGUGAGUAACACGUGAGUAACCUGCCCUUGACUUUGGGAUAACUUCAGGAAACUGGGGCUAAUACCGGAUAGGAGCUCCUGCUGCAUGGUGGGGGUUGGAAAGUUUCGGCGGUUGGGGAUGGACUCGCGGCUUAUCAGCUUGUUGGUGGGGUAGUGGCUUACCAAGGCUUUGACGGGUAGCCGGCCUGAGAGGGUGACCGGCCACAUUGGGACUGAGAUACGGCCCAGACUCCUACGGGAGGCAGCAGUGAGGAAUAUUGCACAAUGGGCGGAAGCCUGAUGCAGCAACGCCGCGUGCGGGAUGACGGCCUUCGGGUUGUAAACCGCUUUCGCCUGUGACGAAGCGUGAGUGACGGUAAUGGGUAAAGAAGCACCGGCUAACUACGUG